GACGAACGCUGGCGGCGUGCUUAACACAUGCAAGUCGAACGGAAAGGCCCCGCUUUUGUGGGGUGCUCGAGUGGCGAACGGGUGAGUAACACUUGAGUAACCUGCCCUUGACUUUGGGAUAACUUCAGGAAACUGGGGCUAAUACCGGAUAGGAGUUCCUGCUGCUUGGUGGGGGUUGGAAAGUUUCGGCGGUUGGGGAUGGACUCGCGGCUUAUCAGCUUGUUGGUGGGGUAGUGGAUUACCAAGGCUUUGACGGGUAGCGGGCCUGAGAGGGUGACCGGACAAAUUAGGACUGGAAUGAGGCCCAGACUCCUACCGGAGGCAGCAGUGGGGAAUAGUGCACAAUGGGCGGAAGCAUGAUGCAGCAACGCCGCGUGGGGGAUGACGGCAUUCGGGUAGUAAACCGCUUUCGCCUGUGACGAAGCGUGAGUGACGGUAAUGGGUAAAGAAGCACCGGCUAACUACGUG
RNAcentral lists this ribosomal RNA (468 nucleotides) under uncultured bacterium. Its description in RNAcentral is "partial 16S ribosomal RNA". It matches the Rfam family "Bacterial small subunit ribosomal RNA", at positions 28 to 507 of the family's 1533-position model. The record is from RNAcentral.